RNAcentral lists this ribosomal RNA (1524 nucleotides) under metagenome. RNAcentral describes it as "bacterial SSU rRNA". It matches the Rfam family "Bacterial small subunit ribosomal RNA". The record is from RNAcentral.
AGAGUUUGAUCCUGGCUCAGAACGAACGCUGGCGGCGUGGAUUAGGCAUGCAAGUCGAACGAUGUCGAUAGCAAUAUCUUCAUAGUGGCGAAAGGGUGAGUAACACGUGGGUAAUUUACCUUUAGGCUCGGAAUAACACCUCGAAAGAGGUGCUAAUACUGGAUGUGGUAUUUGUUACAUAAGUAACGAAUACGAAAGGCAGGGACCUGAAUAAGGCCUGUCACCUUUAGAUAAGCCCGCGUCCUAUCAGCUUGUUGGUGAGGUAAUGGCUCACCAAGGCAUUUGACGGGUAGCUGGUCUGAGAGGAUGGUCAGCCACACUGGGACUGAGACACUGCCCAGACUCCUACGGGAGGCUGCAGUCGAGAAUCUUUCGCAAUGGGGGAAACCCUGACGAAGCGACGCCGCGUGAGCGAUGAAGGCCUUCGGGUUGUAAAGCUCUGUCACGUAGGACGAUUACUAGAGAUCUAAUAUAUCUCUGGAAAGACUGUACUGCGAGAGGAAGCCACGGCUAACUCCGUGCCAGCAGCCGCGGUAAUACGGAGGUGGCAAGCGUUGUUCGGAUUCAUUGGGUGUAAAGGGCAUGUAGGCGGCCCUGUAAGUCGGACGUGAAAUCCCUUGGCUCAACCAAGGAACUGCAUCCGAUACUGCGGGGCUUUGAGUGCAGGAGAGGAGAACGGAAUUCCCGGUGUAAGAGUGAAAUCUGUAGAGAUCGGGAGGAACACCAGUGGCGAAGGCGGUUCUCUGGACUGCAACUGACGCUGAAGUGCGAAAGCUAGGGGAGCGAACAGGAUUAGAUACCCUGGUAGUCCUAGCUGUAAACGAUGGGUACUAGGUGUAGGCAUGAAAGUGUCUGUGCCGCAGUUAACACGUUAAGUACCCCACCUGGGGACUACGACCGCAAGGUUAAAACUCAAAGGAAUUGACGGGGACCCGCACAAGCGGUGGAGCAUGUGGUUUAAUACGACGCUACGCGUGGAACCUUACCAGGACUUGACAUGUACCUGAAAGCCUGCUGAAAGGCAGGGCCUCCUCACGGACAGGUACACAGGUGUUGCAUGGCUGUCGUCAGCUCGUGUCGUGAGAUGUUGGGUUAAGUCCCGCAACGAGCGCAACCAUUGUUUUUAGUUGCCACUCUUGAGGCGAAAGCUGAAAGAAGCACUCUAGGGAGACUGCCUGUGUUUAACAGGAGGAAGGUGGAGAUGACGUCAAGUCAGUAUGGCCCUUACGUCCUGGGCUACACACGUGCUACAAUGGCUGGUACAAAGGGGAGCAAGACCGCAAGGUGGAGCAAAUCCCAAAAAGCCAGCCUCAGUUCGGAUUGGGGGCUGCAAUUCGCCCUCAUGAAGUUGGAAUCGCUAGUAACCGCGCAUCAGCCACGGUGCGGUGAAUACGUUCCCGGGUCUUGUACACACCGCCCGUCAAGCCACCUGAGUUAAGUGCACCCGAAGCCGUCAUACUAACCCGAAAGGGAGGGAGACGCCUACGGUGUGCUUGGCAAGGAGGGCUAAGUCGUAACAAGGUA